GGUGGCUUAGUGGUAGAGUGCUUGCCUUGCAUGCAUAAGGCCCUGGGUUCGAUUCCUCAGCACCA
Molecule: non-coding RNA, 65 nt
Organism: Dipodomys ordii (Ord's kangaroo rat)
Lineage: Eukaryota; Metazoa; Chordata; Mammalia; Rodentia; Heteromyidae
Source: Rfam